RNAcentral lists this long non-coding RNA (557 nucleotides) under Vombatus ursinus (common wombat). RNAcentral describes it as "lncRNA (ENSVURG00010005417.1)". The record is from RNAcentral. Lineage: Eukaryota; Metazoa; Chordata; Mammalia; Diprotodontia; Vombatidae.
UUUUCCCUGUUUUCUUUUCUCUAGAAUAACUAGACUUUGAAGUCCUUCAUCUCAGGCAGACACUUACUUGCUCUGCUCUUGAACACAAUGGGAAUUAUCAAGUGAGCAGAUUGAAGAGGGACCUCAUCAGAAGCUGAAAAAGAGUUUCCAAGAGGAGAAGGAUGGAGAGGUUGAGUCUGGAGGGCCAACUAUACUGAACUCAAGUACAUAUUGGGAAAAUUUUGAAGACUCUCACCUUCAUCACCUGCCAUUUAACCAUGAGGGAAAAGAAAAGGAAAGGAAAAAAGAAAUCAGAAUUCAUUCCGGAACAAAUAACUUCAGGCAAGAGGAAACAAAAGUUCAAAAAUCUUGCAGACCUCAGGUAACUAAUUGGUUUUUCAAGCUCAGUCUUGGCCAGGCAGCCUGACCCUCCUUAAUUAGGGGUAGCCUUUUUUCCUUCAUUGUCCUUGAUUGAAUCCAGCUGCCACUUAAUUGCCAGCUGUUCUCUGAUUCCCAGGUCAGGACCUUCUUAAGGCCAAGUCAGUGGCUCCUGGUGAGUGGUACAUGGCAUCCUAGGC